Molecule: microRNA, 21 nt
Filed under: Sarcophilus harrisii (Tasmanian devil)
Lineage: Eukaryota; Metazoa; Chordata; Mammalia; Dasyuromorphia; Dasyuridae
Description: Sha-Mir-12475-P4_3p* (star (passenger))
Source: RNAcentral
CGAUGUGUCUCAGAGUGUUAU